This is a long non-coding RNA of Mangifera indica (mango), 560 nucleotides long. RefSeq lists it as uncharacterized. The record is from RefSeq and is a predicted model, not a curated record. The transcript is spliced from 2 exons. Lineage: Eukaryota; Viridiplantae; Streptophyta; Magnoliopsida; Sapindales; Anacardiaceae.
CACAAGAUAACCCAACUAAGCUUCCUUGAAGCCACUCAAAAUUACCCUUCGAUAAACCUCAUUAAGCUCAAUAUGGCACACUUACACAAAUCUCAUAUUAACAAAGAUGUUGGCAUAUGUGGGCAUCCCAGAUUGCUUAGGAUGUUAAGAUGUGACUAGUCAAAUGACUUGGUGAGGCUAACUUGGAGAUCGACAAUUAUCUGACAUCCCAGUCUUAUACUCAAGCUAAGAGACUAGAAGCUGAUAUUUUCAAGAACAAUAACCAGUCACCUGUGCUGAGCAUGAUGAUUAUGAACAGGUUUGGCGGCAGCUUUUCUGUCAACUUCUCCGAUAAAUUAAUCGCCAAUAGAACGAACCAAGUUCAAUCUUGAACCAAUUGUUCUAGAUUUAAACUAAGUUCAGAUAGAUUCAUGUUAAGGCCAAUUCAACUCAAAUUCACCCCUAUUGCUCACCGUCAAUUUCGCUUUCAAAUGAUGUUGUUAUGAAUUCCAAAGCACUAAAUACACUCUCCAACUUCACUAUGUAAGCAGGAUACGGAAUAAAUUCAUACUUUUUAAAUU